ACUGUCUCGGGGAUUUACUCGGUGAAAAUGCGAUACCGGUGAAGAUGCCGGUUAAGUGCAGUUAGACGAAAAGACCCCGGAAGCUUUACUGUAAGUUGUUAUUGGCUUUAUGUUUUUAAUACGUAGCGUAGUGGGGAGGCUUUGAAGCGUUUCUCUCGGGAGGCGUGGAGCCGCCAAUGAAAUACCCAUUUUUAAAAAUGUAAAAUCUAACCUGUCCGGCAAAACCGGAUGGGGACAGUAGCUGCUGGGCAGUUUGUGUGGGGCGCAAGCCUCCUAAAAAGUAACGGAGGCGUUUAUUAAGGUCAGCUAGGCGCGGAUGGACACCGCGCUAGUCGUGCAAUGGCAUAAGCUGGCUUGACUGGAAGUCGGACAUGACGACCAGAUGCGAAAGCAGAACAUAGUGAACCGACCGUUGGCACUCGAUGCCACGGAAGAUUAACGGAUAAAAGCUACUCCGGGGAUAACAGGCUAGUUCCGUCCAAGAGUCCAUAUCGACGACGGAGUUCGGCACCUC
Molecule: ribosomal RNA, 514 nt
Filed under: Candidatus Giovannonibacteria bacterium RIFCSPHIGHO2_01_45_12
Lineage: Bacteria; Candidatus Giovannoniibacteriota
Description: bacterial LSU rRNA
Rfam family: Bacterial large subunit ribosomal RNA
Source: RNAcentral